CCAAAAUAAAAACUAUUCAAGAAGUCAGCUGCUGCUAUAAAGGUCAUCUGGAAAGUCCAGGGAAGGGCCCUGAGCUGCUGCUGGGAAAGGGAAAUUGUCCUCUGGCCCGUGAUCUGGCGUGUUUGUCUGCUGAGUGGCUUUAGUGGUUUCAUCUAUUGCUGAAAGAGCCAAGAGAAAGGAAUAAAAUAGGAUUGUAAUCCACACCACAAUGAGCAAGAUGAGAAGAUCAGCCAAAGAACACAGUGAAGAAAACAAAGGAGUCUUUUACUAAAGCUGAUUGAGAAUAGAGUGCCAAGGAAAAGGGAAAGCUGAGUUUGCCUGGAAGGAUAAAACAAUAAUGCUGACUAAAUGCCUCACCUCCUAUCAUCUUCAAAGCCACAUGAGGUACACAGGGAAGAAGCUUUUCUCCUUAAUGAAUUAAAAAUGAUUGGAGGUGGUUUACAAAGAUUGCACCUAAAGGAUCCCCCAGUCUGGACUCAAGACAGCCUGAAACCCAGAAGUAGAUGUUGACACAGAGAGAGCUACAGGAAAAGUCCCCCAGUUCUAGUCUAAGACAUGAGAAAUGGAUGCCUGAGAGCUCAGAAGGAGCAGGACCAAUUUUCUGGUUCUCUCACAUCCCAUCUCCAUGGCAUCGGCAGUAAGGACAGCCACACCUGCAAGUGCCUUAAUUUCUGAGGGAAGAGGAUGUUAACUCUCAAAUGAGAAGACCCAUAGCUUCAAGAGAGUGGGGUGAAUUCCCAUUGUUGUUGUUUUUUUUCCUGUCUUCCUACCUCUUUGCUAAAAUAAAGGUAUAGCUAUGGAAAGUGUGCAGCAGAACAGGGAGGAUUAAAACCUUAGAUUUCUGUCUAGAGGACUGAAAAAGGAAGGCACAGUAAACCAAAAUGUAACAGAUAGGUCAUGGAGGUGGAGGAGCUUGGAUAAGUGACCGCUGUAAAUUUAUGAACUCCUGGGUUUACUCCACCCUGCACACACAGGAAUCUGAUCUAAAUAGCCUACCAACAGUUGUUCAGUUAAGAACUGAAAGAUCUAGGCCCCUGCCCAUGUCCCAGACUGGCCACUGGGUGGCACACAUUUGCGACAGAUCUAAAUAGCUUUGCAAAGGCUUCAAAAAUGGAACUGACAUUGAUACCACCACCCACAGGAGCCUACUUGUAUCUUGCAACGUGAAUCCAACUGAUCAACUGCCUAAUAAAAUAUAAACAUUCUCAAUAGAACUUAAGCAAGACUCAGAAUUUCAUAAUAUAAUUUUCAAAAUGUUCAUGAUAUUACAAUCCAAAAUCAUUCAGCAUGUGAAGAAACAAGAUCUUAACUCACAUGGGAAAAGACAACAACAGGUGCCAGUACUGAGAUGACACAGGUGUUGGAACUAUCUAACAGAGACUUUAAUGCAUUAUAUUAUAAAAAUGUUCUGGAAAGUAAGGGUAAAUACUCGUAAAAUGAAUGGAAAGAUAGAAAAUGUCAGAAAAUACAUAGAAAAUAAAAGAAAAACCAAAUGGAAAUUUUAGAACUAAAUAUAUAAUAAAAUUUUUGAAAUUCACUGGAUGAACUCAGUAGUCAAAUGGAGGUGACAGAGGAAAGGGAUCAUGAACUUGAAUAUAAAACAAAAAAAUUCUCCAGAUUGAUCAACAAAGAGAAAAAAUUGAGAAGAAAAAUUUUGCAGAGCCUCAAGGAUAUGAAUGUUGAUACCAAAAGUUCUAACAUUCAUGUCACUGAAGAAACAGAAAGAGAGGAGAAGAUGCAGUACAAAAAAAGCAUCUGAAGAUAAUGUAUUUGAAGAAAAUUUUCCAUAUUUGGUGAAAGACAUAAAUGUAGAGAUUUAAGAAGCUGAGAAACUACAAACAGGAUAAACAUAUAAAAAAAUCCACACCCAGGUACAACAUGACCAAGUUUUUGUAAAUUAAAGCCAGAAAAAAUGUCUUGAAAAUAGGCAGGGACAAACAGUGCAUCAUAUACAGAGUAACAGUAAUUUUAAUAAUUGGAUUUCUCAUCAAAAACCAUGGAGAAACCACAAAAAAAAAAAAAAAAGCUGGCCCAACAAUUCUUAAGUGCUGAAAGAAAAGAAUUGUCAAUCCAGAAUUCUACAUGCAGCAAAAAUAUCUUCCAGGAAUGGAAAUGAAGUAAGACGUUUUCUGCUGAGAGAAAACUAAAAGAAUUAUUUUCUAGCAAACCUGCACUUAAAGAAUUGGUACAGGAAGUUCUUCAGAUAGAAAUAAAAUAAUACCAGAAGGAAACUUGGAGCUACAGGAAUGAAAGAAGAGCAACAGAAACAAAAAAGAGCAACAGUUCGUAUCUGGGUAAUUCUAAUUAUUUCUCUCCUCUUGAGUUCAUUCAAAUAUGUUUGAUGGUUGAGAGCAAAAAUUAUAAUAUACAUCUCUCUCAACUUAAGAUGGAGUUAGAGCCUGAUAAACCCAUAAAUUGAAAAUAUCAUAAGUCAAAAAUGCAUUUAAUCCACUAACUUACUAAACAUCAUCGCUUAGCUUAGCUUGCCCUGCACAUAUUCAGAACACUUACAGUCUAUAGUUGGGCAAAAUCAUCUAACACAAUGUAUGUAAUUUAUAAACUAUUGGAUAUGUAUGUAAUUUGUUGAAUAUUAUACUGAAGUGAAAAACAGAAUGGUUUAUGGCAAUGGAAUGGUUGUAAGUUUAUUGGUUGUUUACCCUUGUGAUUGCAUGGCUGACAGAGAUGUGACUUGCUAUCACUACUCAGAAUUAUGAGAGAGUAUUGUAUCACAUAUCACUAGCUAUAAAAAGAUCAAAAUUCAAAAUGGUAAGUACGGUUUCUACUGAAUACAUACUACUUCCACACUGUCAUAAAGUAAAAAAACUGCAUAUUGAGCCAUUAUAAGUGAUAUGUCUGAUGGAAUUUUCAAUAUAUUUAGAUAUAAUACAAAUGACAACUACAAUGUAAAGAGAGGAGAGUAAAACACAUAUUAUUGUAUUUUUUCUACCUUCUACUUAAUAUGAUAAAAUACUGAUUUGAAGUAGACUGUGAAAAGUUAAGUAUGUAUAUUAUAACCCUUAAAUAGCCAAUAAAAACAUUCUAUACAAAGAGACAUGGUAGAAUUUAUAAUAAGUAGAAUUUAACACCAAAAAAAAUUCCCAUAGCCCUAAAGAAAUAGAAAGGAGGAAACGUAAUAAAAAGAUAACAAAUAGAAAAUAAACAAUAAAAUGGCAAAAAUAUCACCAUUAUAUUAAAUGUCAAUGGUCUAUGCACACAAAUUAAAAGACAGAGAUUGUCAAAGUGGAUAAAAAUAAGUGACUCAAUACUAUAUGCUGUCUAUAAGAAACUUCAAUAUAUAGGUAAGUUAAUAGUAAAAAUAUGGGAAAAAAUAUAUAUAUAUAUCAUGCAAACAGUCCUAACUUCAAAGGGAAGAUGUGUUUCUAGUGAACAAUAGCCCUCAAAGAGCCUGGGGAAUAACAUAGAAAUGGCAGGAGCUCCAGAGGAUGAAUGGUUAGUGAGGGUCAUGGUAGAAGCCGAGAUCUCAUAAAACUAUGAUCCAUCACCUAAUGCUAUAAUUAUGUGGCCAUGUGAAGCUGGAAGCUGGCUGAAAUAGAUGGCUUAGCCAUGGCCUCCAGAGGGUAAACCAAUUUGGAUUUAUUCCCACCAUCUCAUCUUUCCAAAAGGUUCCCCCUUGAAAAUAAAACAUUUUCCCCCCCAAGAUUUGAAAACCAGUAUAUCCCUGGGCAGGGGGGGUGGAGGGGAGAAGAUGCCAUUACACCCAGUUCCCUUCACUCCUGCCAUCCUGAGCCUAUCAGGCUUUUUUUGUUUGUCCAAGGCAUUUCAUUUUAAUAUGGUUUCCCACUGCAGAGGCUGUCCUGCCUAUUUCCUGAAGUUUAUUGUUGCCAUGCUCUGACUCCAUUCUCUUCCGUAUUUUUGAACCUCAUAUUUACACCUCUAAUCAAAGGAGAAAGGCCUCUCUGUAUUAGUGAGAUAACACAGGACCCUCUUAGAUUCUUUCCAUCUUCCUCCCCAAAAUGUCUUAACCUAGGUCUUUCCUCAUUCAAGAUGCUAGGUAUUAUAGGCAUCUUAAGUAGUUCAGAGCAGAGUAUCAAUGUGGUAACUGGAGUAACCUUCUACUCUCAGAGGGCAACUAUUCCUGAAAACGUCAGGAAAAAAACACAAAACAAGCUUCUUGGGGAGGAGGAGAAAAUCCUCAGUAAGAUAAUUCCUAUUUCUGACAUUCUUCACAAGGUCAAAAAGUCUGGACACAGUUUAGGUUUAAUGGGGGUAAAAGAAUGAAUGGCUACAAAAAAAAAAAAAAACACAGAAAACAAAACAAACAAACAAAAAACCCAUCAUACUUAAGAAAUGCUUUUUCUAGAGAUCUGACCUGUUAGGAUUUCUUAAGAUUUGAGCUUCAAUAAACUUUUGUCGGAGAUGUUGGUAGAAAUCAUAGAGACGAAAAAACUUACAUCAAAACAAAUUAACCAACUAACAAAGAACAGCAUUAACAUGGACACUUGCUUUUUCCAAUAACAGUUUUGCGAAAAGCAUUGGUUAUUCAGACAUGGAAAGUAAAGUAAACUACCUUCCCUUUCUAGCCAUUUGUACUGACAUUACCCUGAUUGGAGCCUCUAGGCUUCUGGUCCAGCAUUAAGAUCCUGGUCUGAACUUUCACAAUUAUAGGGCUGGAUGUUUGGAAGGGAGUGAGGGAGAAAGAAGGUCAUGAGCUGUACACAUAGUCUCAAAAUUAAUCUUCUUAAAAACUCAUUAAUUCCUUGCUCAACUCCCACUGGCUUCUCACUGAACUCUGAAGAAUGCCUAUAUUCUUUAAACUGGCUUUCCCCCAAAGCAAACUGGUUUUGCUGUUCUUUGAGGAAGUCAUGCUUGUCUGGAACUUUGUUCUGUUUCCCCUCUCUUCCCCCAGCAUGGAGAAUUUGGUUUUCCUUUGUAUUUCCUCAAAUCUUAUCCAUUCUGCUUCUUUGAAAAGUUGAUCUCCUCUACACUGAAUCACAAUAUUUUUUCUUGUUUUCUUUUUUUUUAAUAGCACUGGAAUAUACCUGCCAAAAUAGGAGACACAGACAGUCUAAGGUUAAUUACCUAUUUUCUGUGUAUAUUUUGGGUCUGCAAGUGGAUUUUAAAUCCUUAGAACCCAUGAGCUCUGGCUUAAAUUUUUUUCCUAUUACCAAGUCAAAAUAGUUGAAAUUUAUCUUAACAAAGUUCAAAAGCAAAUAUGAGCUUAUUUGUGAAUAUUUCUCUAGCCUGUAAAUCAUAGUGUUCUUUUGAAUAUGCACAUUGAUGAUACUGGCAUGCUUCUACCUUGAUCAAAAUAUGUGCUCUGUAUGCAGAGUAAAAGCAGUGAUUUUCUUAUUUUAACAUGGAAAGUUGACACUAUGGCCAUGUCAUGGCUACUAUGUGUGAUUAAGUGGAAAACUACAAGUAUAGAUAAAGAAUUUUGGUGAAUAGUUUUUUUAUUAUGAACAGAUGCUAAUCCUCUCUUGAUAAUUGCUAACAAAAUUUUGCAUAAUCUUGUAGACACUUUAGGUAGAAGAUAAUAUGUUGAAUAAUUUGCUGCCUAACUUCCAUCAGAUUUAUAUUGCUACCCUAAGAUGUCUACUGGUUGCACUUAAAUCCAGUUUUUUUGUUUCUUUGUUUCGGGGAAACAUUGGUAAGAAUGAGCUUUUAAUAAAAGUGGAUGCUUUAAAAUGACACUACAGACAAAGGGCUGAUAUCCAAGAUCUGCAAAGAACUUCUCAAAUUCAACACCCAAAAAACAAAUAUUCAAGUCAAAAUAUGGGCAGAAGACAUGAACAGACACUUCUCCAAAGAAGACAUACAAAUGGCUAAUAGACACUUGAAAAAAUGUUCAUCAUCAUUAGCUGUCAGGGAAAUUCAAAUCAAAAUCACAUUGAGAUACCACCUUACACCAGUUAGAAUGGUGAAAAUUGAGAAGGCAAGAAAAAACAAAUGUUGGAAAGGUUGUGGAGAAAGGGGAACCCUCUUACACUGUUGGUGGGAAUGCAAGUUGGUGCAGCCACUUUGAAAACAGUAUAGAGAUUCCUCAAAAAAUUAAAAAUAGAGCUACCCUAUGAUCCAGCAAUUGCAGUAAUACCAAAGAUAGAGAUGUAGUGAAAAGAAUGGCCAUAUGCACCCAAUGUUCAUAGCAGCAAUGUCCACAAUAGCCAAAAUGUGGAAAGAGCCAAGAUAUCCUUCAACACAGAAUGGAUAAAGAAGAUGUGGUCCAUAUACACAAAGGAAUAUUAUUCAGCCAUCAAAAUGUAUGAAUACACAGCUUUUGCAUCAACAAAUGGAACCGGAGGAGAUUAUGCUAAGUGAAAUAAGUCAAGCAGAAAAAGUCAAUUAUCAAAUGGUUUCACUUAUUUGUGGAACAUAAAGAAUAGCAUGGAGGACAUUGGGGGAAGGAAGGGAAAAAUGAAGGAGGGGAGGAAUUCAGAGUGGGAGACAAACCAUGAGACUAUGGACUCCAAGAAACAGAGGGUUUUAGAAAGGGGGGAAGGGGAAUGGGUGAGCCUGGUGAUGGAUAUUAAGGAGGGCACACACAGAUUGUAUGGAGCACUGUGUGUGGUACACAAACAAUGAAUCACAGAAUACUACAUCAAAAACUAAUGUGGGGUGCCUGGGUGGCUCAGUGGGUUACGCCGCUGUCUUCGGCUCAGGUCAUGAUCUCAGGGUCCUGGGAUCGAGUCCCGUGUCGGGCUCUCUGCUCAGCAGGGAGCCUGCUUCCUCCUCUCUCUCUCUGCCUGCCUCUCUGCCUACUUGUGGUCUCUCUCUGUCAAAUAAAUA
Mustela lutreola (European mink) is the source of this 6744-nucleotide long non-coding RNA. RefSeq lists it as uncharacterized. The transcript is spliced from 4 exons. The record is from RefSeq and is a predicted model, not a curated record. Lineage: Eukaryota; Metazoa; Chordata; Mammalia; Carnivora; Mustelidae.